Molecule: long non-coding RNA, 463 nt
Organism: Oncorhynchus masou masou (cherry salmon)
Lineage: Eukaryota; Metazoa; Chordata; Actinopteri; Salmoniformes; Salmonidae
Exons: 3
Source: RefSeq, a predicted model, not a curated record
AAGGGGAUGAUGAGAGUUGGUCCUGCAGUGAUGGAAAGGUUUUAGAAGUUCUCCUUGAGAUGGAAAGAGAGAGAGAAAGGAGAGACGAGAUCUACUGGGACCUUCAGUUGCUCAACACAGGAAAACUCAGAGACCUGUACCACACAGACACACACACCACAGACACACAUACAAGAGACACGCACACCAUACACCUCAACCAAGACCUGUACCACACCACCAGUCAAGCGCAGUACAACAGAGACACACAUAACAUACCCACAGAGAAAGAAAAGGGAAAGGAGAGAAAAGAGGGAGGAGUGUGUGGGUGGAGACUGAGGAGAGCAGUUAGACAGCGCUGGGCCAGACUGGUGCAGGAGGGUGUGUGUGGAGCCCUGCCGUCUUUAAGUGGUGGUCGGGGGUCAGGGGUGAGAAGUCAGGCAUUGGGGUGUGUCUCUCUGUCAGAGCUACUCCUACUGGUAGA